UCAAGCUACUAAGGGCAUACGGCGGAUGCCUAGGCGCCAUCAGCCGAUGAAGGACGCGGUAAGCUGCGAAAAGCUACGGGGAACUGCAAGCAAGUAUUGAUCCGUAGAUGUCCGAAUGGGGAAACCCACCUGCCGUCAUGGGCAGGUAUCCGAAAGGAAGGGAACCCGGGGAACUGAAACAUCUAAGUACCCGGAGGAAGAGAAAUCAAACGAGAUGCCCACAGUAGCGGCGAGCGAAGAGGGCAGAGGGCAAACCGGGGAGCUACGGCUCUCCGGGGUUGAGGACUGCAUUUAGUCUUAAUGGUUUAUCCGAACUACCUGGAAAGGUAGGCAACACAGUGUAAAAGCCACGUAGGUUAAAGACCAGAGAGAUGAGCAGUAUCCAGAGUACCACGAGGCACGAGGAAUCUUGUGGGAAGCCGGGGGGACCACCCUCCAACCCUAAACACUGAAUGGCGACCGAUAGCGCAUAGUACCGUGAGGGAAAGGUGAAAAGAACCCCGGGAGGGGAGUGAAAGAGAACCUGAAACCGUAUGUCUACAAGCAGUCGGAGCGAAAGCGACGGCGUGCCUAUUGAAGAAUGAACCAACGAGUUACGUGCACUAGCGAGGUUAAGUGGAAGACACGGAGCCGAAGCGAAAGCGAGUCUUAAGAGGGCGAAUAGUUAGUGUACGUAGACCCGAAACCGCAGUGAUCUACCCAUGUCCAGGUUGAAGCGCAGGUAAAAUUGCGUGGAGGACCGAACCUGUGAGCGUUGAAAAGCUUUAGGAUGAGAUGUGGGUAGAGGUGAAAUUCCAAUCGAACGCGGAGAUAGCUGGUUCUCCCCGAAAUAGCUUUAGGGCUAGCCUCAAGUAGUAAGUAUAGGCGGUAGAGCACUGAUCGGGCUAGGGGCCAUAAAGGUUACCGAACCCUGUCAAACUCCGAAUGGUUAUACUGUAGAGCUUGGGAGUCAGACUACGAGUGAUAAGAUCCGUGGUCAAAAGGGAAACAGCCCAGACCACCAGCUAAGGUCCCCAAUGUCGUACUAAGUGGAAAAGGAUGUGGGGUCUCUAAAACAACCAGGAUGUUGGCUUAGAAGCAGCCACCAUUUAAAGAGUGCGUAAUAGCUCACUGGUCGAGAGACCCUGCGCCGAAGAUUACCGGGGCUAAAGUACGAAACCGAAGCUGUGGCUACGACGUAAGUCGUGGGGUAGGGGAGCGUUCUGUGAGGGCUGAAGUCGUCCUGUAAGGAACGGUGGACUUCACAGAAGUGAGAAUGUUGGUAUGAGUAGCGAAAAGAAUGGUGAGAAUCCAUUCCACCGAAAGCAUAAGGAUUCCUGGGCAACGAUCGUCGUCCCAGGGUAAGUCGGGACCUAAUCCGAGGCAUGGAGCGUAGGAGAUGGACAACUGGCAGAUAUUCCAGUACCGGUAAUGAUUGUUUGAGCGAUGGAGUGACACAGGAGGGCAGGCAGGCAGGAGAUUGGUUGUUCCUGUACAAGCGUGUAGGAUGGGACGUAGGCAAAUCCGCGUCCUGUGAGUCUGAGGCGUGAUGUGGAGGUUCCGGAAACGGAGCUGAAGCUGCUGACCCCACACUGUCGAGAAAAGCUUCUAGUUAGAGAAUUACCGCCCGUACCGUAAACCGACACAGGUAUGCGGGGAGAGAAUCCUAAGGUGCGCGGGAGAACCCUCGUUAAGGAACUCGGCAAAAUGUACCCGUAACUUCGGGAUAAGGGUAGCCGCUGUUGUGAAGUCUGAACAGACGGAGCAUGAGGCGGUCGCAGAGAAGAGGCCCAAGCGACUGUUUACCACAAACACAGGUGCCUGCUAAAGAGAAAUCUGACGUAUAGGUGCUGACACCUGCCCAGUGCCGGAAGGUUAAGGAAGGAUGUCCGGAGCAAUCCAAAGCAUUCGACCGAAGCCCCGGUGAACGGCGGCCGUAACUAUAACGGUCCUAAGGUAGCGAAAUUCCUUGUCGGGUAAG
RNAcentral lists this ribosomal RNA (1960 nucleotides) under human gut metagenome. RNAcentral describes it as "bacterial LSU rRNA". It matches the Rfam family "Bacterial large subunit ribosomal RNA", at positions 3 to 1980 of the family's 2925-position model. The record is from RNAcentral.